UAAGUGCUGAAAGCAUCUAAGCACGAAACUUGCCCCGAGAUGAGUUCUCCCUGACCCUUUAAGGGUCCUGAAGGAACGUUGAAGACGACGACGUUGAUAGGCCGGGUGUGUAAGCGCAGCGAUGCGUUGAGCUAACCGGUACUAAUGAACCGUGAGGCUUAACCUUAC
RNAcentral lists this ribosomal RNA (168 nucleotides) under Escherichia coli O157:H7 str. G5101. Its description in RNAcentral is "partial 23S ribosomal RNA". It matches the Rfam family "Bacterial large subunit ribosomal RNA", at positions 2765 to 2925 of the family's 2925-position model. Lineage: Bacteria; Pseudomonadati; Pseudomonadota; Gammaproteobacteria; Enterobacterales; Enterobacteriaceae. The record is from RNAcentral.